This 440-nucleotide ribosomal RNA is filed under the name uncultured bacterium. Its description in RNAcentral is "partial 16S ribosomal RNA". It matches the Rfam family "Bacterial small subunit ribosomal RNA", at positions 338 to 795 of the family's 1533-position model. The record is from RNAcentral.
CCUACGGGUGGCAGCAGUGGGGAAUAUUGCACAAUGGGGGAAACCCUGAUGCAGCGACGCCGCGUGAGUGAAGAAGUAAUUCGUUAUGGAAAGCUCUAUCAGCAGGGAAGAAAAGGACGGUACCUGAGUAAGAAGCCGCGGCUAAGAACGUGACAGCAGCCGCGGGAAUACGUAGGGGGCAAGCGUUAUCCGGAUUUACUGGGGGUAAAGGGAGCGUAGACGGCAGUGCAAGUCGGGAGUGAAAGGCGGGGGCUCAAACCCCGGACUGCUCUGGAAACUGUAGGGCUGGAGUGCAGGAGAGGUAAGUGGAAUUCCUAGUGUAGCGGUGAAAUGCGUAGAUAUUAGGAGGAACACCAGUGGCGAAGGCGGCUUACUGGACUGUAACUGACGUUGAGGCUCGAAAGCGUGGGGAGCAAACAGGAUUAGAUACCCUUGUAGUC